RNAcentral lists this ribosomal RNA (441 nucleotides) under uncultured bacterium. RNAcentral's name for it is "partial 16S ribosomal RNA". It matches the Rfam family "Bacterial small subunit ribosomal RNA", at positions 338 to 795 of the family's 1533-position model. The record is from RNAcentral.
CCUACGGGCGGCAGCAGUGGGGAAUAUUGCACAAUGGGGGAAACCCUGAUGCAGCAAAGCCGCGUGAAGGAAGACGGUUUUCCGAUUGUAAACUUCUGUUCUUAGUGAAGAAUAAUGACGGUAGCUAAGGCUCAAGCCACGGCUAAGUACGUGACAGCAGCCGCGGUACUAAGUAGGGGGCAAGCGUUGUCCGGAAUUACUGGGUGUAAAGGGAGCGCAGGCGGGAAGCCAAGUCAGCUGUGAAAACUACGGGCUUAACUUGUAGACUGCAGUUGAAACUGGUUUUCUUGAGUGAAGUAGAGGUUGGCGGAAUGCCGGGUGUAGCGGUGAAAUGCGUAGAUAUUCGGAGGAACACCGGUGGCGAAGGCAGCCAACUGGGCUUUAACUGACGCUGAGGCUCGAAAGUGUGGGGAGCAAACAGGAUUAGAUACCCUUGUAGUC